This 62-nucleotide transfer RNA is filed under the name Psococerastis albimaculata. RNAcentral's name for it is "tRNA-Gly". The record is from RNAcentral. Lineage: Eukaryota; Metazoa; Arthropoda; Insecta; Psocodea; Psocidae.
AUUUAUUUAAUAUAAAAAGUAUAUUUGACUUCCAAUCAAAAAGUCUAAUUCUAGAAUAAAUA